This 380-nucleotide ribosomal RNA is filed under the name uncultured eukaryote. Its description in RNAcentral is "partial 18S ribosomal RNA". It matches the Rfam family "Eukaryotic small subunit ribosomal RNA", at positions 592 to 976 of the family's 1831-position model. The record is from RNAcentral.
CAAUAGCGUAUAUUAAAGUUGUUGCAGUUAAAAAGCUCGUAGUUGGAUUUGUGGCGUACGGUGGGUUCCGGGCACUUGUUGUCUGAGUAACUUGCUGUUGCCAUCCUUGGGUGGAACCUGUGUGGCAUUAGGUUGUCGUGCAGGGGAUGCCCAUCAUUUACUGUGAAAAAAUUAGAGUGUUCAAAGCAGGCUUAUGCCGUUGAAUAUAUUAGCAUGGAAUAAUGAGAUAGGACUUUUUUGCUAUUUUGUCGGUUUGCGCAAAGAGGUAAUGAUUAAUAGGGACAGUUGGGGGUAUUCGUAUUCCAUUGUCAGAGGUGAAAUUCUUGGAUUUUUGGAAGACGAACUACUGCGAAAGCAUUUACCAAGGAUGUUUUCAUUAA